UCUUGGCUAGUGCUGGGCGUGUGGGUUGUUUAGUUGGUCAGGUCUGAGAAGAAGCAGCCAGGGCGAUUUUAAUGCGGGUCAGUGCUAGCUACAAAAU
RNAcentral lists this signal recognition particle RNA (97 nucleotides) under Pseudomonadota bacterium. RNAcentral describes it as "Proteobacteria bacterium signal recognition particle sRNA small type". It matches the Rfam family "Bacterial small signal recognition particle RNA". From Rfam's summary of the family: The signal recognition particle (SRP) is a universally conserved ribonucleoprotein involved in the co-translational targeting of proteins to membranes. Archaeal SRP consists of a 7S RNA and homologues of the eukaryotic SRP19 and SRP54 proteins. In most bacteria, the SRP consists of a 4.5S RNA and the Ffh protein (a homologue of the eukaryotic SRP54 protein). Lineage: Bacteria; Pseudomonadati; Pseudomonadota. RNAcentral also lists the same sequence under 1 other name. The record is from RNAcentral.